RNAcentral lists this ribosomal RNA (433 nucleotides) under uncultured bacterium. RNAcentral's name for it is "partial 16S ribosomal RNA". It matches the Rfam family "Bacterial small subunit ribosomal RNA", at positions 29 to 507 of the family's 1533-position model. The record is from RNAcentral.
AACGAACGCUGGCGGCAUGCCUAACACAUGCAAGUCGAACGAGACCUUCGGGUCUAGUGGCGCACGGGUGCGUAACGCGUGGGAACCUUCCCUUAGGUUCGGAAUAACUCCCCGAAAGGGGUGCUAAUACCGGAUAAUGUCUUCGGACCAAAGAUUUAUCGCCUUUGGAUGGGCCCGCGUUGGAUUAGCUUGUUGUUAGGGUAAAAGCCUACCAAGGCGACGAUCCAUAGCUUGUUUGAGAGGAAGAUCAGCGACACUGGGACUGAGAAGCGGCCCAGACUCCUACGGGAGGCAGCAGUGGGUAAUAUUGGACAAUGGGCGAAAGCAUGAUCCAGCAAUGACGCGUGAGUGAUGAAGGCCUUAGGGUUGUAAAGCUCUUUUAACCGGGAUGAUAAUGACAGUACCGGGAGAAUAAGCUCCGGCUAACUCCGUG